CUGUUUAAUAGCAAAUAAUUUUGUUUUGAUUUUGAUUUCGUUAGCAGCAGCUUGGUAUGGAACAAAGCGAGAAAAGACUUAAAACGGAACUAAACGACGAAGACUUCAUUGUACCUGAUCAUGGUCGCGGCUAUAAUGCAGACAACAACAUGAAAACAGAACCGAUUGCGGGCGAGGACGAUAAUGAUGAUCCUUUGUCCGACAAUGAUUGCGAUAUUGGGCCGAUCAGGAAUCAAUUUUUUGUGGCCAAUGAGGCGAUUGAAACGCCCAACGAGGGAAUUAACGAAUUGACGCAGCCACAAAACAAGUUGACAAAAGAGCACGAUGUCACAUAGCUGUCAUAAGCAAGAUCGAGAUUUUAUGUUGAAUCAAACUCAGAGCAUGAUUGUUGGGUAUAUAAGACGAUCCCAUUGAAUAACACCGCCUCGAGACUUGCCCAAUACCAGAUCGUAGUAUUAAUCAAUUCAAUCCCCAUUGUUAGAACCCUUUUAACUUAAAUAUGUAGUUGAAAUUCUUUUAUAUGGCUUUCAACAUUCAUUUAAAAAGUGUCUUCAAGUGAAAGUGAAACAAAAAUUGAGAGAAUGUGUAAUACAUAACAGUUUACUAAUUGAAAUAUAUAUUAAUUAUAAAGGAAUAACAUAAUAUGCCUACUAAAUCGGCAGGUACCUUAAGAAAUAUUUGGCAAUUUAAAAUGGACUAUUUCUGGCAAUUACUUAUUAAAAAGGAAAAAGAAGACGUAUAGGCAAAUUUUCUCACAAUUUUCUAUUCUUAUAGAGAACAUUUCAAGAAGCUCGCAUUUGCCAACAUGGAACUAUGGCAGCCCGAGCUCGUUGGCUAUUUGAUAAACUUUGUUAAACGAAAGAUCAAGAAGACUAAAACGACGACACAUAAACAGAAAAUAUGUUAAACUUGAAUAAUGCGGCUCGAGGAUCUAACACAGACUGAUGCCAUUUUAAUCUGACAGAGAUUUUUCUAUAAGCAAAAUACAUGACUUAAGCAAAACAAGAUUAUUUACAAUCAAACUAAUUGGCAAUUGUUUUUUGUGUCACAUUAGCUUUAACAUAGUAUGUGUAUAUAAGACUCCGUAAUUGACGAACUACUUAAUAUGAGAAUUGAGCUACGAAAUGUUAAUAAAAAGCUGCAGAAUGUUUUGCUUAA
This is an RNA transcript of Drosophila novamexicana, 1158 nucleotides long. RefSeq lists it as uncharacterized. NCBI's taxonomy places the organism in Eukaryota, Metazoa, Arthropoda, Insecta, Diptera, Drosophilidae. The record is from RefSeq and is a predicted model, not a curated record. The transcript has 5 exons.